GAUGAACGCUGGCGGCGUGCCUAAUACAUGCAAGUCGAGCGAACAGACGAGGAGCUUGCUCCUCUGACGUUAGCGGCGGACGGGUGAGUAACACGUGGAUAACCUACCUAUAAGACUGGGAUAACUUCGGGAAACCGGAGCUAAUACCGGAUAAUAUAUUGAACCGCAUGGUUCAAUAGUGAAAGACGGUUUUGCUGUCACUUAUAGAUGGAUCCGCGCCGCAUUAGCUAGUUGGUAAGGUAACGGCUUACCAAGGCAACGAUGCGUAGCCGACCUGAGAGGGUGAUCGGCCACACUGGAACUGAGACACGGUCCAGACUCCUACGGGAGGCACCAGUAGGGAAUCUUCCGCAAUGGGCGAAAGCUUGACGGAGCAACGCCGCGUGAGUGAUGAAGGUCUUCGGAUCGUAAAACUCUGUUAUUAGGGAAGAACAAAUGUGUAAGUAACUAUGCACGUCUUGACGGUACCUAAUCAGAAAGCCACGGCUAACUACGUG
RNAcentral lists this ribosomal RNA (497 nucleotides) under uncultured bacterium. RNAcentral's name for it is "partial 16S ribosomal RNA". It matches the Rfam family "Bacterial small subunit ribosomal RNA", at positions 28 to 507 of the family's 1533-position model. The record is from RNAcentral.